RNAcentral lists this long non-coding RNA (38514 nucleotides) under Vitis vinifera (wine grape). RNAcentral describes it as "long non-coding RNA (VVIN_LNC000077)". The record is from RNAcentral. Lineage: Eukaryota; Viridiplantae; Streptophyta; Magnoliopsida; Vitales; Vitaceae.
UGCAGUUAAUAUCACCAAAGAUAUCGAAAGUCACCUUCUCAAUGCAUAACGCCAAGACCAUAUGUACCGUUUGCUAGUAUUUCUCUCUUAAAUAAAGUUUGGAACUUGGAUGUGCAUCUAUGUACUAUCUCGACCUUUUAAUAAACGCAAAUUCCAGCUGUACUGGAGUUGGUGACUAAUGCCGAGAAGACAAACUAGGUUCCCGAUCCUCAGUUAUUUAUGCAAUAAUAUUAAUUAGUGCAUGCGUGUGAUUAGUUGUAUGGUUCUGGGAGUUGCUUUGUGAUUGUUAAUCGGUGUCUUUUGUAGUGGGAUUAUUACAUGCAUGUAAUGUGAAGAACAUAUGAUCCAUGAGGAAAUAAAUUAAAUGAAAAUUACCCAGGCUCCAUCAUGAGGAGCCUUUGAGCAUGCCCACAAGCCUACGUUCCUGCAUUCAAGUCACAUAUGUGAAAAUUCCACUUUGCACAUAAUCUAAAUAAUUUAUCUAAAAAUCUAAGAAGUAAUCUCUCUCUCCAUCUAUGUCUCUCUCUCCCCAUCUAUAUGUACCUCAAAUGAAGAGGUAAGGUAAUGUAAAAUCCCCACCUCAAAUUUAGGGAUAUUUAUAUAAUUUGAAAAUUUUAAAAAGACCUACAUUAAUUUUGUAAAUAUUUAUGUAAUCAACUUUCUCAGAUUAAUUAAAUAAAAAAUUGACCAAGAUGAUUAAAAAUGCAAAUUUGAUGAGGACAUGAAGUAAAAAGUGGUAGGGUUUAAGGACAAUGGCUUCUACUGAAUUUUGGUGAGGUGGUGAUACAAUGAGGAAAAUAGAUUAAUAAAGUUUAUCCAUGGAAAUAGAAAAUAGAAAACAAAAAAUAUAAAAUAAUAAUAAUAUUCAUGUUAAUCAUUUAAUAAAUAUAAUAAAUGCAAUUAUAUAUGCUAAGUGAAAAUAACAAUAUUAUUAUUAUUAUUAUUAAUGCUUAUGAUAGGUGAGAAUUAAGUCUUUUAGAAAUUUGAGUAAUUUUUUCAAGGUAAAGCUUAUAGUUCAUUAAGUCAUUUUAUAAUUCCUUAUAUAUUUUUUUAUUGAUUUUUAAAGUAUCAAAAUGUGUAAAUUCUUUAAAGUGGAUCAAAUAGUUUUUUUUUUUUUUGAAAUAUUUUGUGAUUUGUUUGGUUGUUAUGAAAGUGAAUUUUAUUACUUAAUUUAUUAUAAUGAUUUUAAAACUCUAGUUAUUAGUGGUUUUAGUCAACAAGGAUAAGUUAUUAACCUUCUUUACCUUUGGUCAGUGAAGGGAUGUAGUAUAACACUAGCCAAUAAAUGUGUCAUUGGUCUUGUAUACUAUUGAUUAGAAAUUGUUAUGUCCACCAAUGAGAGUAUUAAAGUGAGGUGAGCCACCUAAUGUAAGUCCCAAUAUUUGGGCACAACGUUAUUAUUAAUUAAUAAACAAAAAUAAAUAGUUUAUUUAUAAAAAUUUUUUUCUAAAUAUAAAUUGAGUAUGCAAAUUGUAUUUUUUAAUUCUAUCUUUAAAUUUAAAGUGUUUAAUCUUUUGAAGAAAGUGAAUUUAAUUUUUUGAAGAAAGUGAAUUUAAUUUUUGAAUUAAAUAAAUUAACCUGAUAAUUGAUUUUUAUAAAAAUUUGAUAUCUCUUAGAAUUUAAUUCUCUACAAUAUAUACCUGAUUUUUUUCAUUGAACUAUUUUUUCUUAUUGAACCAUUGAAGUCACCCUUCUUUAUUAUUCCCCUUUUCAUAUACAAAUGGUAUAAGUGAGAAGGGAUUACGGGAGGAGAAAUGUUUCUAUUAUAAACAACUUUGGAAUUGAAUUAUGUUGGAUUGUGAAACGUGAAUCGGUUUAAUUUAUUGUAUUUUGCAAGGAAUGCUAGAGGUCGAGUGUCUAAUUGAGCUUGCGGGGAUCAAGAGUCUUGAUCGGUUCGUUGGGACUUGGGAUUGAGUUGUCCAAUCAGCUCAUGGGGUUAAAGGAAUAUCCUUCGAUUUUUUUUAAUACGAUGAAUAACGAGUUUGUCCUAAUUGUAUAUUUAAUCUUAUUAUAAUUUAAAGUUUCUUUUUAGAGAGUGUGUGACUGCAAUCGAAAGGAUAAUGAGUGUUUAGUACUCGUCUUAUUUUUUUCUGAACCAAAUUAAAAAUCUAUUGUUUUUCUUUAUUUUCUAAUCGUGUGUGCAUGAUUUGAUCAACAAAUUAUUUAUAGGAUUGUUUACUUAAAUUUGAUUGUAAUUUAUUUAAGUUUUUAGGAGAAUCAUUAAAUUUAUUAUUACAAUAUUUUAUUAGUUUUGAAUUUGUUAUUUAAAGUGAUUCAUUUACUUGGUUCAAAGGUUUGACAUAUAAAGUCACCGUGGUUCCCUUGGUGUCGCGGGUGAUUUUGUAAGUGCCUUCGGACUACAGAAUAUUAAUUAACCUACCAAUCUUCAAUGUAAUCUAAGAUGCAGAAAGAUCUUGUGGGUUAAGGUCAAGUGGGCGCUUCAAUAUUUAUCAUGUCUUCAAAAAAAACUUCAGGGCCCCAGUCCAGAUUCUCAGAUAUGGAUUCUAACAGUUGCUACCAAUCACGGGGGUGAAAACAAAUCAGUGUCGCAGAAAUCGCUAUCAAUGUGGUACUGGAAAAAAAAGAAGAGAUUCCUCCACUUGUUCUUGAAAUUUAUCUGAACGCAUGCAAUAAAUCAAUGCUCCAUAAUCUCCUGCACAUGCAAAUUAAAAUCAAAAUCAGGCCAUUGGCCUCUCACAUUACCAUUCUUGGCCGUUUUCUGGUGUGCAUAUAAAGAGUAAUAACCACACCAUCCAUCUUUUACUCUGGUUGUCACACUCCCACCACUCUCCCACCACUUCUUCCCUAAUCUCCUAACAUCAAAUACAAAAAUGCCACAUCCUUAUUAUUGAAAAUUAAAUUCCCAUACAUAUAAAUCUUAUGCCAGAUUUUUUGUUGAUUGGAUGAUAUUCGGCCAUAUAAAAUUCAGUAUCAAUCACAAACAUUCGUUAUCCAAUCUUGAUACCGAAGAGGAUAGAGUAUCAAUCCAUCUAUGGGCCCGGUGCACCAGGCCUUCCGCCUAUAAAAGUUUUCUAGGGUGGUGAACUAUAUUCUUCAAACACAGCCUUGGCUAGUUACUAUCUGGUUUCCAAAGAAAGAAGAAAUGGCUCAGAUAGAUAAGAUGGAAACCCAUGUAGAGAAAAAGUCCCCUGCCAAUGAGUUCUACGAGGUCUUCAGCAGCAAAGCUCAUCUCAUUCCCAAGGCCUGCCCUGACAAAAUCAAGAGCAUCGAAGUGGUUGAAGGUGAUUGGAAGAGUGUGGGCUCUGUCAAGCUCUGGACUUACUGUAUCGGUAAGGCAACGCUAACCAUUAUUCCCAUGCCACCCUCAAUCAAACAAAAUAAUACACUCAGCACAUGGACCUUCUUGUUUUUAAUUAUUAUUGCUGUGGAAGAUAAUAAUAACAAAACAAAGGGAAUGACCCCUUCUGAUACGGGUGCCUCCUCAUAUUAGUUUUUUGAAGUUCUCCAUGCAAACUAAAGUAGAAAUCAAUCUUUAGGCACAUCCCUUAUCUGAGCUUCACAUGACCUUAGUUUCAUUUUAAAUUAACCUGCAGGAGGAAAUACUUCGUCUAGCAAGGAGAGGGUGGAAAAGAAAGACGAUAAGAACAAGUCCAUCACUUUCAAGGCUCUGGAUGGAGAGGUCAUGAAGGAUUUCAAGAGCGUCAUCUCCAUCCUUGAAGUGAGUGCAAAGGAUGACGGCAGCCUGGUGAAAUGGACUUUGGAAUAUGAGAAGUCAAAUGAGAAACUCCUACCUCCAGAUGCUUACCUCAGCCUUGUAAUUAGUAUGAGUAAAGAAAUCGACGCUUACCUUCUCAAGGCAUAAGCCGCAUAACAAGCCCUAUAUCCUUGACUUGAUAUGAAAGCAUCCUAGCCUGGGUCCUCCUGGGAAUAACGGAGUUGCUAUGCGUACCUCCAUAUUAUAUUAUCGACACCUACUGGCUACUGCUGUACUCCAUGUAACUUCUUGCUGUACUUAAUUAUAUGAGCUUCCUGAAUUAAUGUUGGAAUGAUAAAUCAAGCUUUAUGGUAGAAUCAAAUGAUUGCUCUAUCAUGGAAUAAAUUUCGCAAUAAAAAUAAAUAUUAGAGGAGAGUUAUGAAACGAAGCUUUUUUUUCUGCAUCAAAUUAACUUUUCAUACACUGUUUUUAAAACAAAUCAACAUACAAUGAUCUUAUGUUGUACCUUUUCCGUUGCAGAUUGCUUUUAAAAAUGUUCUCCCCACAGGCACUUCUAUGGUAUCUUUUCAAAAUUGCUAUUAUAUAUGUUUAAUUAACCAUUCAUUUUGGUCUAAAGCUAGGACGAACUUCUAAGACUGCCACGGAGACUCUGGAAAUCAACAGAUGAAGAAAAAAAUAAAAUAUAUCCAUGACUUCCAAGGUUUUGGAAGCAGAGGUCAUGAAUCAUUUCAAGAAGAUUCAAGUCAUCCAUGCAAGUAACAGCAAAGGAUAAGCGCAGCUAGGUGAAAUGGAGACUGGAUAUUGAGGGUCACUAUCUCAGAUUCUCAAGGCAUAGCAUUAAAAACAUAUCCUUUAAUUGGUAGUAUAAUCUCAAACUUGUAUGUAAAGACCAGACCGUGGAAGUGCAUAUAUGCAUUUUAUUCUUCAAUAAGCGCAGGCUUAGGGGGUAGUUCAAUAACCUCUGGGCUUAGUCAAUCCCGAGAAGAUAUUAAUAAAUUUCCCUGGAUUAUUCCUCUCAUGAAUAUCAGUGCCUGUAAUUUGGUUGUGUGCUAACGGGAGUUGCCUCUUGCGAUCGGUUGGGUUCUUUAAUAAACGCAUUAUUAGGUAUGAAUGAUCAGGAAAUUGAUAAGUAAAAAACAAUUUAAUUAUUUCACUUAAGUCAUAAACCAUUAUGAGGAGCCUUGGAAUAUAUGCAUGAGUCUAGAUUCUCGCAGCCACUAAUCACGUAGUCAAAAUUGGCCAGUCGCAAACAUUCCAAUCAUUCUUUAUGAUAAGAAAGAAGAGUUCACUCUUCUUUUUCUCGAGUUUUUUAUUUGGAGAGAGCAAUUUAUCAGCCUCACAUUUUGAGACCUUUCUUGGCACAUCACUUUCAGAAUCUGAUUUCCUAGCUCCACUAUAGAAGUAAAGCCAGUUGGGUAUCACAUUCUUGUUUUAUGUCUCCUUGAGUGGGUCGGGUGUAUAUAAAAAUUUGCCAGUUGAAGAUUUUCUUUGUUAUGCUAGUCUUUCUUUUUCUAACCUCCUGAUAUCAAAUGGGAAAAUGCCAUAUCGUUACUGGACAAUUGACCCAUAAUGGAGAGACUUUUGUUGGUUGGACUUGGGCUUUUAUAUAACUCAGCAACUAUCAUAAUUAUAGGAGAAAUUUGAAGUAACCAUAUUGAUUUGGGUCUACCAAGAAGCAAGGUGAAUCGUAACAUAUCAUGCAUAUAACUUGAUUCAAUUAUUUUAUAUUCUACUUGUUUCUUAUGUAUUUUUACUUUUAUCAAAUAGUUUAGAUAUCAUUACCAAAUAUUCUCCUGACAUUUUCCUAUUAUUUCUGUAAGAUGCUAUAAUCUACACCCAAAGUAGUGGACCACUUACACUUUAUUAUGUACUAACCACGAUCAUAACUUACAUUCUCCACCUUGGCCUCUCUCUUAUCCCAAAAAGUAAAGACUCAGGGUUCGUAUCCCUUCCCUUCUGUCUAUAUAGGUCUAAGAGUAGUCAAGUGUUUCCUUCAAUAGCCUUCAUAUUCUUGGCAGUAACUAGGUACUUGGUUUUCAAACACAACAAAAAUAAUGGCUCAAAUUGCCAAGAUGGAGGUCCAAGCAGAGAUCAAGUCCCCUGCCAGUAAGUUCCACGAGGUCUGUAGCCGUAAAGUUUAUCUCGUACCCAAGGCUUGCCCUGAAAAAAUUAAGAGCAUUGAAGUAGUUGAAGGUGACUGGAAGACUGUGGGCUCUGUCCAGCUUUGGACUUAUUUCAUCGGUAAGGCAAAAUCCAUCAUUCCACGCCUCCCCCAACAAACACAAGGACACAGAGCUCAAUUGUACUUCUAUUAUUAUUACUAUUAUUAGGAAAUAAUGAUAAUCUAAUGGUAAUGUGACUCUACUCAUGCCGAUAUAAACCCCGUAAUCUUGAUCUCAAAUUGCUAUCAAACAAAAGAAUAUCAAAUAAAGGUAAAGUGUGUCCCCUAUAUUUAUACGUAGAUAGAUGAGUUCUAAGCUUAGCACCAUGUUUUCCAUUUGAAAAACAGGAGGAAAUACCGAAGAGGCUAAGUUGGUGGUUGAAAGGGUAGACGAGGAAAACAAAACGGUCACUAUGAACGUUGUGGAAGGAGAUAUCGUGAAGUAUUUCAAGAUCUUCAAGUGCACUAUUCAAGUAACCGUAAAGGAUAAGGGCAGCUUGGUGACAUGGAGUGUGGAAUAUGAGAAGCUAAAUGAGAGUGGCCCCGCUCCAGAUGCUUACCUCAACUUUGCAAUGGGUAUCGUUGAGAACGUGGAUGCUUACCUUCUCAAGGCAUGACAACAAAGGCGUAUUCAUGAGUCAUGACAUGGUAUGAAGCACUGGUACAACAAAAACUUGGGAAUAAUGUACCACACGCCAUGUCCUCAACUUCUACUGGUCAUCGCUAUAAUAUUAAAAGUAACUUCUUAUUCUACUUAUAUACCUUCCAAGUACUUUGUGUCUUGAAUGUUAUUAUCUAAAAAUAAAAAUAGAAAAUCUCGAAGAAGAGCAUUGUCCUUCGACACUUUUCUUUCUUUCUUUCUUUCUUCACUGCUGAGAAUCUCAACGUACGACUACCAUUUGCAUUAUGGACCCAUGACUGCCAUCCUUUGACCACAUUUGUUGCCCUCCCACCAAACUCCUACGCGUCAAAAUUUCUAUUGUUGCUUGAACAAUAUUUUCAUUUGAAAAACAAGGAAACGAUUUAAAAAUUCUUAUCUCAUGUCUAGUUACCCCGGUCGACCAUAUAAAGUACCACUUGAUCACUCUAGUCUCCUUUGCUAGCCCAUGGGCAAUGCAAUACCCAGCAGGUCCCAGUAACCAACUCUAUGUUCCUCCGAAAAUGAAACAAAUCAGGUCGUUUCAGGGAUGCAUUUGAUCUCACCCUUUUGUUUUGUGUCCGUUAUUUUUUAUUUUAAUAUCACAUGUUUAUAUUUUAAUCUCAUUCUUUACACCUGGAUUUGCUGAUAAAGGCAACUUUCUUUUUGAGCUUUGAUCGAGAUUUUUAUGAAAUUCCUGUGAUAUUACCGUCCUGCUCCUGCUUAAGAAUGUAACUUUGAUUUUGCUUUUAGUGAAGUCUUUAGGUGUUGUUUAUUCCCCAAAAUCUUUUGAUGUUUCUGAAAUUGCUUCAGUGGACUUUGAGAGGUUGCAGGUACCUCUUUUCUCCUGAAAUAGAAUUUGUUUCAGUGGAGCAAGACAACAGGAUGAGCAAAAAAUAGAACCAAUUUUAUUGAUAUAUAUCAGGUUUUUGAGACGUUGAAGAACAUUUCUAACAACUUUUUUUGAUGGGUGACCAAGCCUAUUAUGCCACAAUGCAUAUACAGAACAAGAAGAAAAAGAAGCAGGUGUUGGAACUACAGAAGAAUUGUAUACUAAGGGUUGUGUUGACAUACUGACAUAUGACUUAUGAGGAGUUGAGGGAGAGAAGCUGCCACUGAUUAUUAAUGAGAUCAAUUUGAGACUGAUAAAAAACAUAAAGACCAUCUUUAGGCCUACCCCUCCAGUAGCACUGUUUUGAAGUGAAAUUCAAAGAAGACAUUCUUUUGGGCAAAUUUUGACACACUGAGAAGGUUCUAAUUAGCAAUUUCAGGGACAUGAAGUGUUUUAAAGAGUAAUUUCAGCAAACAUAACUUCAACUUUACAUCCACCUGACCUCAUUAUUUCAGUUUGACAAGAGGGCUUAAUUAUAUCAGUAUGACUGCUAAGAAGACUUUGGAAUAUUAUAAAACGAGUCCAUCAAGUUCAAGGUUUGGAAUGGAAAGAUCAUGAGUAAUUUCACUACUUUUAAGCUGAAUAUGAGAAGGUAAAUGAGGAUGUCCCAGACCCAAUGCUUACUAAAUCAUUGAAGGUCACCUUCUUGAGGCAUAAUUCCAAUUCUUUUCAUCGAUGCUUCUUAGAUGUUAUAAAACAAUACUAUGAAAAUGAAAACGUAAUGUAAUUUUGUCAAAGCCUUUUCCUUAUUGAAGACUCUGGACUGAUUGCGUGGGUGCGCAACACCCACCAUAAUUCCCACACCAACGCCCAACUAACCAAAUCACGUAAGGCCUCACAUGGCCUCAUUAUUAUUUCUGUUGAAAGAUAAUACUAUAUUACAUACGAGAUGGCCAUUCUACCAGCCACCUGUAAAGUUGGUGAUAAAUUGAUACUAAAAAUAGAAGGAAAAUUAAGUUGAAAUUAAGGGUGUCUAUUUAAAUUUAAUUAUUCCCUAGAUAUGAUCUUUUGAUAUGAUUUGAACCCGUUAAUCAUUUAUUUUUAUAUAAAGAGACAAAAAUUCAAUUGUAUAAUCCAGGAUGAGUCACUUGGCCGGGUUUUCGACGACAGCUAAAUCAACCUUCAUUUAGUAAUGAUUGCCCAUGAAAUAAAUUAUCAUGUCUCCUCACAAUAUAAUAAACUAAUAAAAAAUAAAAGAAGAUCACAAAGAAAAGCAUCUUAGUGGAAGUUUUUUUUUUUUUUUUUUUCUUUCAUUUGUUGGUGGUGACACUCCGUGAAAUGUGAUCAACUAGCAUUUGAAUUACACAACCUAAUGCAAAUGAUAAAAAGCAUAAAUUACUUUAGAGUGUUUAGAAUUUGGAAGACUCUAGCUAGGAUGAUAUGGCAUGGGUCUGUGGCCGACAACCACCAAACCCAACGCUAAAUAAUUAUUAUUGAACCAUCAUCAUCAGUAUAAGCAACAUCAAACCUCUCCAUGUUAAACUGUACAUUUUAUUUCAUCCGGAUCUAAUAUCUAAUUAUAAAUGAUUAUGUAUGAGAUUGCAAUCCUUUGCUUAACUCUUUGAAAAUCUAAUUAUAAAUAUUUGGAAUAUCGAUUUCAUCUCUACCAUUAAAAGCAUAUGAAAAAAAUAUCUUGGUCUUUGAAUAAAAGUAAGUAUAAAUAAUUAGACUAGGGUACCAAAUGAUGAAAUCAAAUAUAAAUGAAUUAUAACCAUCAAAUUUCUAUUUUUCAUUAUUAAAUCAUUGGGCGCUCCAAUUUUUACAUGAUGUAUAACUAUUGACGGAAAUGUUAAUUAGGGAUGGCAACGGGGCUGGUUUUUUCGGGUACCCGCCCCCCCCUCCCCCCCCCCCGCCCCUAAUGGGACGGGGUUGAAAUUUAAUAAACGGGUUUUUAACGGGUAUGAGAUUUUUUUUUAAAACCAGGGGCGGGUUCGGGACGGGUUCGGGACGAGUUCGGGUAUUGCCCCAUUCCGCCCCGCCCCGCCCUGUUUACAUAUAAAAUCAAUUUUAAAAUUAAUUUUAUUUUACUAUUUUUAAUAUAUAGAUAAUAAUAAAAAAAUUAAUAAAAUAAGUUAUAAAAAAUAUAAUAAUUUUAUUAUUUAUAAAUAUAUUUAUUUUAAUGUAAUUAAAAAUUUUAAAAGUAAAUUUUUUUUUUUAUAAAAAAAAGGAGGCUAAACGGGGCGGGACGGGGAUGAGAAUUAUUUUUAAUAAACGGGGCGGGGUUGGGAUGGGGGCAACCCGUCCCGAACCCGCCCUGUUGUCAUUCCUAAUGUUAAUAUAAGGAUAUAAUAAUGGGUAAAAUUAGUUGAAAGUGUUUUUUUUAUGACAUAAAAUAAUUUUUCAAAUUUUAAUUUCUAUUUACUUUGUCUUCCCUUGUCAUGUAUCUUUGUAAUUUUCCGAUUUGUUUAUCAAAACAAUAAAUGAUGUCAUGUUAUGAUUUCUCUUUUUGUCUUCCUUUUUAAUUGACGUGUUUAUUGGAAUAAUAUAUUAUGUUAGACAAAAUAACACAUACCUCCACUGCCCAAAUCCCCUCCGUGACAAUGAACCCCAUCUUUAAGCAUUAUUAUAAAAUUAAGCAUAAAGUUAUUACAAGUUUCUUCCAUUUCACAUGCCUUUCCCAUAGAUUGAGUGGUGGAGAUGAUCAUUCUUGAACGAUUUAUAAUUUUAAUGAAUUCUGUCUAUUCUCAUAUCUUUUAAGAGGGAAUUCAAAUCAACUUAUCUUAUUUUCUCAACGCUACUUAACUUCCACGGCUUCAAAUUUACAUGAUCAUAUCAUUAUCAAUAACUUCGGCAUAACUAUUCAAAUUUUAAUAAGAACUUCAAAUCAUUGUUACCUUUAUUGCCUUAAAAAUCUUUUUCUUUGUCAAUGAUCCCUGCACGAUUAUUAAAUAAUAGGAUUGUUAUUGUCAUAUUAACUAAUUUUGAUAAUAUAGUCAUCGUCACGGCUGAGUGCCGUUUUCUUGGGAGAUUUUUCAUAAAUUUAAAUCAAUACCAGUUAUAGGAAAUGCGUCACAAAUUAGGAAGAUAUCGAGCUGGAAGCAGAUGAUAUAUAAUUCAUUAUUUUCUUCCUUAUUGAAGCUUGACAAACCAAUCCAAAUGCAUUAACGUGAGAAGCAAGGUUUUAUGCUCAUUUUCAAUGAACCUUGUCAACAUGCACGUCAAAAACAAUGAUUUAUUAACUACGUACAUGUAGAACUGCAUGGGAAAAAAAAAAUACAAUUAAGGCAUUGGGAUAUGAAUAAAACGCUUAACUUAAAAUUCAAAAUUCUCAAAACUACGUUUUUCACACCAAAAUGUUUCAUCCAGCCAACCUAAGACCGAGUGAAUCCUCCCUCUAAAGCACAUUGCCCAAGACUACAGGCAACGUAGUAAUUACCUAAGCAAAUACGUCAGAAUCAUACCAAUUUUUACCAAAGUGGGUAUCGGGAAGGAGCUUUGCCUAAUUCAUCCUUCUAUAUAUAAGGACAAGGUUAUCUACUUCUUCUCAUCACUGCCUUCUGUUUGAAUAUUUUGUAGUUAGUUUUAUCAAUCCAGCUAGUGUUAUUAUCAGAAAAACAUGGCUCUAACUGGUAAGUUGGAGACUGAAACAGAGAUCAAAGCACCUGCUGAUAAGUUCUUUAAAAUCUUCAGGAGCCAAGCACACCACCUUCCUAAUAUCUGCUCCGAUAAAAUACACAAAAUCGAGGUACAUGAAGGUGACUGGGAGACUCAGGGCUCCGUCAAGCAUUGGAGUUUGACCGUUGGUAAGGCAUCUCAAACUAAGAACCACAAAACACUAGCGUUAUAUUCUGUUAAUUAAAAUAAGUUAUUAUGUUUUUGUUUCAUUUCAUUGUUGUUUUCUUCACCUUUCAAUUAUUCUAUUAGAAUAAAAGCAUGCCUCUUUGUACAAUUUUUUUCUUGCAAAGAAGUGAUCGAGUCUGGGCCGCUAGUGACUAUGAUGGUUCUUAGGAAUGUACAUGACAUCUAAUAAUAGCUUCAACAUAUUCCAAUUAUGUUUAACCUCACAUUUUGGUUUCAACUAGGAGAGAAUUCUGAGAGUAUUAAAGAGACUGUGGAUCAAAUAGAUGAAGAAAACAGGUCCAUCACAUUCAAGGUUUUGGAUGGGGAGGUGCUGAAAGACUACAAGAGCUACAAGUUCACCACACAAGCGAUACCAAAGGGGGAGGGCUGCUUGGUGAUAUGGACCAUCGAAUAUGAGAAGGCAAGUGAGGGUGGCCCAGAUCCCCAUAACUGCCUAGAGUUUUCAGUUAAUAUCACCAAAGAUAUCGAAAGUCACCUUCUCAAUGCGUAACACCAAGGCCAUAUCCACCCUUUGCUAGUAUCUUGCUCGUAAAUAAAGUUUGGAACUUGGAAGUCCAUCUAUCUCUAUCUUUCAAUAAACGCAAAUUCCAGGUGUGGACUUGGUGAUUAGUGCCGAGAAGAUAAACUAGGUUUGCCUUGGUUAUUUGUGCAAUAAUAUUAGUGCAUGAGUGGGAUUGAUUGUAUGCUAUCUUGUCCGGGAGUUGCUUUGUGUCUUUUGUAAUGGGAUUACUACAUGUAAUGUGAAGACUAUAUGAUGCAUGGGGAAAUAAAUUAAGCGAAAACUUCCAUGGGCUCCAUCAUGAGGAGCCUUUGAGUAAGUCCACAAGCCUACAUUCUUGCAUUCUAGUCACAUGUGUCAAAAUAAGUCUCUACAAAUUAAAGUCUUAUUGUCAAAAUCCCACUUUACACAUAAUCUAAAUAAUUUAGCUAAAAUCUAAUAAGUAUGUCUCUCUUUAUAUGUACUUACCAUCCCAACUUUUAAAUUUAGGGAUAUCUAUGUAAUUUAGAUUUUAAAAAGAAAAUUUUAGGGAUAUUUACAAAGAUAAAUGAAAUAUUUUUGGUUCCGAUAACCAUUAUUUUUAUCUCAUUUUGGUUUCUUUGCGUUAUAAAAAAAAUGGUUUGUAGAGAUAAACUAGAGAAAAAAAAAAAUUAUACAAUGGUUUGUAGAGAAAUUUGAUUCGAAAAGUUAGAAAAGAUGAUUUGUUUUUUGCAUUUGCUUCAUUCUAAAAUUCAAUCACUAUCUUUUAUCUCAUUUUGGUUUCCCCACAUUAUCAAAAAAUGAAGGAUAAAAAUAAACUGGGGAAAAAAUUAUACAAAGGUCUCCGAGAACUUUGAUUUGAAGAGUUAGAAAAGAAGAAUUUUUUUGCAUUUGUUUCAUUUUAAAAUUCAAGGUUUUUGGAUUUCUAUUAUAUAUUAAUUAUGAGGAUAGUAGAAUAAUAAUAAUAAUAAACAAAAACUAGUUAUUAGUGACCUUGAUCAAUAGAGUAUAAGUUGUUGACCUUUAUUAUCUUUGUUAGAAGUAGUUAACGAUGCAAUGUAACCUUAGCCAAUAAAGAUGUUUUGAUAUACAUUGAUUGAAAAAUGUCCUUUUAAAACUAGUUAUUAUUGACCUUGGUCAACACAGAGGAUAAGUUGUUGACCUUUAUUACCCUUGUUAGGAGUAGUGAACGGUGUAGUAUAACCUUAGUCAUUAAGGAUGUUAUUAGCCUUUUGCUAUAUCAUUGAUUGAAAGUUGUCCUAUCCACCAAUAAGGAGAAUGAAGGCUAGCCACCAAGUACUAGUUUUAGUAUUUUGGCACAAUAUUAUUACUAGUGAGUCAAAGUGAAAUAUUUGUUGAUAAAACUUUUUUAAUAUGAAUUGAGUAAGCAAAAUAUAUUAUUUAAUUCUAUCAUUAAAUUGGAAGUGUUUAAAUUUUCAAAAACAAUUAUUUUAAUUAUUGAAUCAAAUGAGCUUACAUGUUAAUAGACUUUUAUAAAGAUGUGGUAUCUUCCGAAAUUUUAUUAUAUAUAAUAAUUGAUCUUCCUUAUACUAACUUUUAUCAUUGAGCCAUCGAGUUCACUUUUCUCUGUUAUUCUCCAUUUCAAUUAUAAAUGAUAUAAAGAGGGAUGAGGUAAGAAAAAUAUUUCUAUUAGAGACAGCUUUGGAAUUGAUUUAUUUUAGGAUUAUUUACUAGACUGAAUUCAUUUAUAAUUUCUAAAUUUCUUUUUGAAGAAUUUGAGAAAAUUAAAUUAAUUAUUGAGAGAUUUUAAUUAGUUUUAAAUUUGUUACUUAAAGUCGUUCACAUGUUGGAUUCUAAUAUUUGAUACGUGAAACUAGCAUGAAGGGCUUGACCUCCGGGUUUGGGGCGUCGCAGCUGACUUUAGAUUACAGAAUUAUUAAUCAACCUACCAAUCUUCAAAGCAAUCUAGGAUGCAAUAUGGUUUUGUGAUUUAAGAUCAAGUGGACGCUUCAUUUAUUAUGUCUUCAAAAAAACAUUUUGGGCCUCAAUUCGAGAUUAUCAGAUAUGGAUUCUAACAGUUGCUUCCAAUCAAAUCAGUGUCACAGAAAUCGCUACCAUUGUGGUACCUGAAAAAAAAAAAAAGAGACUCCUUCCCUUAAUAUUGAAAUUUAUCUGAAGCUAUGCAGUAAAUAAAUGCCCCAUUUUGUGCGUCAUAAUGGGGGAUCACAUUCAGAAUCUUCUGCACAUGCAAAUUAAAAUCAAAAUCAAGCCAUUGGCCUAUCACAUUACCAUUUUUGGCCCUUUUGUUUUGUUGUUUUUUUCUUUUUUUGGCGUGUAUAUAAAAAGCAACCACAUUAUCCAACUUUUAUUGAAAACACCAUAUUAUCAGAUACAAAAACGCCACAUCAUUAUUAUUGAAAAUUAAAUUCCCAUAUAUAGAAAGCCACAUAAAAUUCAGUGCCAAUCACAAACAUUCGUUGAUAUUCACUAGGAUAGAGAUAGAGUGCCCAUAUAUGGACAGUGCACCAUACCCGCCGUGAAGUGAUUGGAAGAGUGUGGACUAUGUCAAGCUCCGGACUUAUUUGUAUAGGUAAGGCAACGCUAACCAUUAUUAUUCCCAUGCCACCCUCAAUCAAGCACAGUCAUACACUCGGCACAUGGCACUUCUUGUUUUUAAUUAUUAUCAUAGUGAACAAUGUUUUCAUAAUCGGAUCGAUCAUCGAACCGAAAAAGUUAUCGAUUUACAGUCCAUUAGUCGAACCGACGGUCGAACCAAUAACAUCAUAAAUAUGUAAUUUAUAUAUUAUUAAAAUUAAAAAUAAUUAUACAAAUUUUAAAAUAUAUAUGAAUAAAUUAAAAAUCAAUAAUAUUAUUUUGUAUCUUUAAUAUUAUCAAAUUAAAUCAUAUUAAUAUUUUAAAUUUUAUUGAAUGAAAUAUAUAUAAUAUUUAAAUAUGAAUAUAUUAAAAAUGAAAAUUUAAUUAAACUAAUUUUAUAAUUUUUAAAAAUAUUAUAUUAUUUUUAUUUAAUAUUAUAAAAAAAUUUAAAAUCCAAUAUAUAUUAUUUUGUUUGGCAUAUUAAAUAAUAAAAGAUGUAUAGCCGAGUGGUCCUAGGUUGGUUAUAGACCUUGAGGUCCAAGUUCAAAUCCUUUGGUGGAUUUGUUAAUUUUUUUUUUCAUUGAUUAGGUUAGUUAGCAAUCCCACACUAAGAGGAAUAAGGAUGCUUAUAAAAGCUAGCCUCAUUAUGGGCAAAGGCAUCACCUCAUCUGGUGGGCUUAAGACUCAGCCCAUAAAAUGGUUGGGUGCGGUGUGGGCUUUGUCACAUUAAGACAGGGCCCAUCAUGGGCUUUUGCUAAAUUUUUUUAUACAAGGGAGCCUUCCAUGCUUGCAAAAUGGUGGGAUAACUUGAACCGAUCGAUUCGCUCAAAACCGUCUGAUUUCGUUGGGUUAUCGAUUCAAUCAUCGAUUUAGGUGAUUUGUGACCGGUCCAAUGCUUAGACGGUUUAAUAAAGUAAAUCUAAUAAAAAAUGUGAUGGAUCGACGAUUGAACCAGUUGGAUCAGUCGGUCCCACCCGAUUUUUAAAACAUUAGAUAAUAACAAAUUAAAAGAAGGGUGUCUCCUCAUAUGAGUUUUUUUGAAGUUCUCUACUCUUGGAGUGACUGAAAGGAUAACUGCAGCCUGGUGAGAUGGACUUUGGAAUAUGAGAAGUCAAAUCAGAGGCUCCUUCCUCCAGAUGCUUACCUCAGCCUUGUAAGCAUGAGUAAAGAUAUGGAUGGUUUACCUUCUCAAGGCAUAAACCGCAUAACAGCAAGGCCUAUAUCCUUGACUUGGUCUGAAAGCAUCCUAGCUUGGGUCCUUCUGGGAAUGGGAUUGCCACACGUAUGACCUCUGUAUCAUCAGUUUUGGGGCAAAAUAGCCAUUUUAUGUAUAAAAAAAAAUAAGCUUUAGCCCUUUACAAAACUUAUGUUUAAACUAGCUCACAUAGAGUCAUGUCAUCAUUUUUCUUUUAAACUCAAUUAGACUUUAUUUUUUAACUGAAACUUCAAUUACCAAUUGAGAAUUCAUUUUUUAACUAAAACUUCAAUUUACAAUUGAGGUUUUAGUUAACUUUGUUUUAAAUUUAAAUAAAAAAUUAAAUUAUAAAUUAUUAUUGAAAUUUAAAAAAUAUAUUUUAAUAAUAAUAAUUUAUAUAUUUAAACUUAAAUAUCUAAUAUUACUUCAAUAAAGAUAAAUUGACAAAUAUAAUAAUAAAUAAAUAUUUUAUUUAUCAAUAAAUUAAUAAUUUUAAAAUAAUAAAGUUAUAUGAAAUCUAAAUAAGAUAUAAAAUUAUAUAAUUUGUUAAUUUAAGAUAUUUAAUUUUUUGUAUUUUUAAGAUAUUAAUUUAUUUGUAUUUUGACAAAUUUAUCUUUAUUAAAAUAAUAAUAUAUUCUUAAGUUUCAUAUAUAGAUUUUUUUAUUAUUUUAAAGCAUAUAUUUAUAGUUUACGUAAAAAAAUACUAUUAUUUGUACAUACAAUAUAUAUGCCUUGAAGAUACAUUUUGAAAUUAGUUAAUAAAAUUAAUUAGAAAAAAGUCUACUAUAAAAUUUAAUUUUUAAUAGUUUCAUCAAAGUCACAAAAAAUACUCAUUAAAUAUUUAUAUUAUGGAAAAAAAAUGCCCCUCCCUAAUAUUACAUGUGAUAUAACUUAAAUUAAUAAAUUGUAUAAUUUUAUAUUUUAUUUAUAUGUCAUAUAAUUUUAUUAUUUUAAGAUUAUUAAUUAAUUGAUAAAUAAAAUAUUUAUUUAUUAUAUUUAUCAAAUUAUCUUUAUUGAAGCAAUAUUAGAUCUUUAAGUUUAAAUAUAAAAUUUUUUAUUAUUAAAGUAUAAUUUUUUAAUUUCAAUAAUAAUUUAAAAUUUAAUAUUUUUAAUUAAAUUUUAAAGUAAAAAAAUAAAAUAACUGAAGUUUCAAUUGACAUAUCUUAUUUAGAUUUCAUAUAAUAUUAUUAUUUUAAGAUUAUUAAUUUAUUUAUAAAUAAAAUAUUUGUUUGUUAUUAUAUUUAUUAAUUUAUUUUUAUUGAAGUAAUAUUAGAUCUUUAAGUUUAAAUAUAUAAAUUAUUAUUAUUAAAAUAUAUAUUUUUUAUUUCAAUAAUAAUUUAUAAUUUAUUUUUUAAUUAAAUUUUAAAAUAAAAUAAAAAUUUUAACUAAAACCUCAAUUGUCAAUUGAGGCUUUAGUUAAAAAAUAAGUUUCGAUUGACAAAUGAUACUUCAAUUAAAAAAUGAAGUCUUAGUUGGUAAUUGAGACUUCAACUUAAAUUUUAAAAAAAAAAAAUUAUGACAUAACUCCUAUAUGUGAUAAUAAAGGAACUAGUUUAAACAUAAGUUUUAUAAAAGGGUUAAAACUUAUAUUUUUUUCUACAUAAAAAACUAUUUUGCCCUAAAACUCCCGUAUCGUCGACUAGCUACUGCUUUACUCCAUGUAACAUCUUGUCUACUUAAUUAUAUGAACUUCCUGAAUUAAUGCUGGAAUGACAAACCAAGUUUUAUUGAAAAUGGAAACCUUCUUAGAAUCAAACAUUUGCUCGAACAAAUUUCGCAAUAAAAAGAGGAGAGUUGUGAAAAGAAGCAUUUUUCCUGCAGCCAAUUACCUUUUCAUACAUUACUUUAAAACAAAUUAACAAAUAGUGAUCUCAUAUUUUACCUUUUCUGUUGCAGAUUACUUUUAAAAAUAUUCUCUCCACAGGCACUCCUACGGAAUCUUUCUCCAAAUCAAACUGUACAUUUUACUCAAAUUUUAAUAUCUAAUUAUAAAUAAUUAUGGGUGAGAUUGCAAUCCUUUGCUUAGCUCUUUGAAAAUCUAUGAUGAUACUCGGUAUUAAUAUUUUAUUUUAUUAAAGAUAAAAAUAUCAAAAUAAUUUUAGAACUUUUUAGUGGGGAUAAUACUUCCCCAUUAGGCUGCUUACAAGGCAUAAAUUAAUAUUUUUUUAAUUUUAAUAAAAGCAAUUUGGUACAGUUGACUUGAUUGAUAACUAUUUAAGAUAGGAUUUAGACUAAUUUAGAUUAAUUAGAUUGCAUUUACAGUUCCGUUACCUCGAAACAAAGUUGGUGCAACAUUAACCAUGAUUAUGGUGAUAUAUUUUAGUUUUAUAUUUUUUAAGGGGAUAAUUUUUUUUUUUAAUGGUUUGAUGUUAGCUUAUAAGAAAAACCUAAACCAUAAAAGCCGAAUCUUUCCAAUAUUGAUCCAAUUUCUAUCAUUAAAAAUAUAUGAAUAAAACUUUUGAUCCUUAAAUAAAAGUAUACAAACUAUCGUACAAAAUAAUGGAAUCAAAUAUACAAAAUAAGAUUAAGGAAAUGUUUGAUAAAACUUAAUAUUUAUUAUUUAAUAAUUUAAAUUAACUCUAAGUUAAAUUAUAUUUAAGUUGUUGACUUAAAACUUAUUAUUUAAUUUUUAUUUUAAGUAUUAAGGUUAUUUAAAAAAAUUAACUUACAAUUUAUAUUAAAUCAUCAAAUUAAAAUAUUUAUCUUAAUAAAUUAUAACUAAGACAAAUAAGGUUAAAUAACAAUGGAGGUUGUGAAGUCAUAAAAGAGAUCAUAAAUGUAAUUGAGAGAAAAAAAGACAAAAAUAUAAAAUGAAGAUACUGACUUAAAAAUAAAUAAAUUUUUUUAUUUAUUAAGUCUUUUAUUUUAAGUCAUACAAUAAAAUUAUUUUAUCAAACAUAUUUAAUUUAUUUAAUAAUAUAAUUAAAAUAUUAAGUCACUUAAAGUUAUUAAAUUGGUUUACCAAACACGUACUAACGUACAAAUAAAUAAGACUAAAAUAGAAAACAAUGAAACUUAAACACAUAUAUGACAUGGUCUAUUUAAUUGUAUUUUUUUAUAAAUGCCUCUUUAAUACUUCCCAAAUCAUAACAUUAAAUUUCUUAAAUUGAUAUAAAACAUUUUUUUUUUUCUANNNNNNNNNNNNNNNNNNNNNNNNNNNNNNNNNNNNNNNNNNNNNNNNNNNNNNNNNNNNNNNNNNNNNNNNNNNNNNNNNNNNNNNNNNNNNNNNNNNNACAUAUAUGACAUGGUCUAUUUAAUUGUAUUUUUUAUAAAUGCUCUUUAAUACUUCCAAAUCAUAACAUUAAAUUUCUUAAAAUUGAAUUAUAAACAUUUUUUUUUUCUAUGAUUGAAUCAUUUAGCACUCCAAGUUUUACUAUUGGACGAAAUGUUAAGGAUCUAAUAAAUGGGUAACAUUAAUUUGCUGAAAUAGUUUUUCUUAUUACUUAUAAUGGUUUUAAGAAUGUUGAAAAAAAAAUUCAUGGGAAAACAUUUAUCAAACUCAAAUUUUGAUUCCUAUUUACUUUAUCUUUCCUUGUCAUGUCUCUUUCUAAUUUUCCUUUUUUAGCGGUUUGUUUAUUAGAACAGUAUAUCAUGCCUGUGAUUCUCUUUCUAUCACUUCUUUUCAAUUGAUUUGUUUAAUGCAAUAAUAUUUGUUUAAUGCAAUAAUAUAUCAUGUUAGACAAAAUAACACCUACCUACUACCCAAAUCCCCAAUGUGACAAUGAACUCUAUCUUUAAGCAUUAUUAUAAAAUUAAACGUAAAGGAUAUUAUAAGUUUCUUCCAUUCCACGUGCCUUUCCCAUAUAUUGAAAGGUGGAGGUUAUCAUUUUUAAAAGAUCAAUAAUUGUAAUGAAUUUUCCAUUCCACGUGCCUUUCCCAUAGAUUGAAAGGUGGAGGUGAUCAUUUUUAAAAGAUCAAUAAUUUUAAUGAAUUUCAUAUAUUUGCAUAUUUUUUAAGAGGGAAUUCAAAUUAACUCAUCUUAUUUCUCAAUGUUACGUAACUCCUGCCUCAAAUUAAAAUCAUCAUAUCAUUAUGAACAACUUUGAUACAACUAUUCAAUUUUUAAUAUGAAUUCUUUCAUUCUCAAAUCAUUGUUCAAGUUAGCUUUAUUAACUUAAAAAAACUCAUUCUUUGUCACUACUCCCUCUAUGAUUAUUAAAUGAUAAAAUUGUCAUUGUCUUAAAAACUAAUUUUGAUAAUAUAUUCAUCAACAUAUUUACAAAUUUAAAUUAAUACAAGUUGUAAGAAAUGUAUCAUAAAGAAGAUACAAAACUAGAAGUAGAUGAUAAUUAAUUAUUUUUUUUCUUUAUUGAACUUUGACACCCCAUCCAAAUGCAUUAACGAGAAAAAUAGUGUUUUAUGCUUGUUUUCAAUUAAUCUUGUCAAUAUGUACAUGAAAAACAAUGAUUUAUGCUUAUAAAUCUUAUCAAUUCGCUUAUUUGUAUAUGUAAAAUGAAAUUAUUGAAACUACACGUAGAAUUGCAUGAGGAAAAAAAUACAACUACUGCAUUUAUAAAUGAAUAAAAGCUUGGCUUAAAAUUCAAAAUUCUCAAAACUAUGUUUUCCACACCAAAAUAUUUCAUCCAGCCAACCAAACACCGAUUGAAUCCUCCCUCUAAAGCAUAUUGCCCAAGAUUACAGGCAACGUAGUAAUUACCUAGGCAAGUACGUCAGAAUUAUAGCUUCUUUUUUUUUUUUGUUUUUUUUCAGUUCAUUGACUCGGCUCCACCCAACCACUAUCAGUAUCAGUUACUACCAGAGAGGGUACUGGGUACUGGUUACUGGGCAGGAGCUUUUCCAAAUUCACAACCCGUCUUCUUUAUAUAAGGGCAAGUUUAUGUAUUUCCUCUCGCCAUUGCCUUUUGUUCGAAUCAUUUGAAGUUGAUUUUAUUAAUCCAUCAGAAAAACAUGGCUCUAACUGGUAAAUUGGAGAUUGAAACAGAGAUCAAAGCACCUGCUGAUAAGUUCUUUAAAAUCUUCAGGAGCCAAGCACACCACCUUCCUAAUAUCUGCUCCGAUAAAAUACACAAAAUCGAGGUACAUGAAGGUGACUGGGAGACUCAGGGCUCUGUCAAGCAUUGGAGUUACACCAUUGGUAGGAUAUGCAACUCGAACUCAGAACCCCAAAACACUAGCUAGCAUUAUAUUCCGUUAAAAUGUUUUUUGAUUUUUUUUCCCCAUUUCAUUGUUGUUUUCUUCACAUUUUUUUAUUCUUUUAGAAUAAAUGCAUGGCUCUUUGUACAAUUUUUCUUUUUUUCUUGCAAAGAAGUGGUCAAGUCUGGGCCGCCAGUGACUAUGAUCGAUGGUUCUUAGUAAUGUAUAUGGCAUCUAAUAUUAGCUUCAACAUAUUCCAAUUACUAGGAGGGAAUUCUAAGAGCAUUAAGGAGAGUGUGGAAUCAAUAGAUGAAGAGAACAGGUCCAUUACGUUCAAGGUUUCGGAUGGAGAGGUGCUGAACGACUACAAGAGCUACAAGUUCACCACACAAGCAAUACCAAAGGGAGAGGGCUGCUUGGUGAAAUGGACCAUUGAAUAUGAGAAGGCAAGUGAGGAUGGGCCAGAUCCCCAUGACUACCUGGAGUUUGCAGUUACUGUCACCAAAGAUAUCGAAAGUCACCUUCUCAAUGCAUAACACCAAGUCCAUACAUACCGUCUGCUAGUAUCUCUAUUAAAUAAAGUUUGGAACUUGGAAGGGCAUCUACGAUCUCUAUCCUUCAAUAUAUGCGAAGGCUUAGGGGAACUUUUAGCAGCUGUGGCUUGGUGAUUAAUGCUGAGAAGAUAAACUAGGUUUCCCUUAAUUAUUUGUGUAAUAAUGUUAGUGCAUGCGUGUAAUCGGUUGUAUGCUUGUCUGGACUCUAGGGGUUGCUUUGUGAUUGUUAAUUGGUGUCUUUUGUAAUGGGAUUACUACAUGUUAUGUGAAGACUAUAUGAUGUAUAAGGAAAUAAAGUGAAAAUUACCAGGGGCUAACUCCAUCAUGAGGAGCCUCUGAGUAUGUCCACAAGUCUACAUUCUUGCAUUCUAGUCACAUGUGUCAAAAUCAGACCCUAACAAAUUACAGUCUUGAUCAUUGAAGGGGUAAAAUCCCACUUUACAUAUAAUCUAAAUAAUUUAGCUAAAAUCUAAUAAGAAUAUCUCUCUCUACAGGUAUGUAACCUUCCAACCUUGAAUUUAAGGAUAUUUAUAUAAUUUAAAAUUAUAAAAAGAAAAUUUUGGAUAUAGGACAAAUUAAUUUUUUUUUUAAAAAAUAACGAAAGUGAAUGAAAUAUUUUUGGUUCCUAUGACCACCCACUUUUUUUACUUUUUAUUUUUAUCUCAUUUUAGUUUCUCCACGUUAUAAAAAAAUGAAAAGAUAAAAUAGAGAGGAAAAAAGACAACUUGGAUUUGUAGAAGUUUCUUUCUUUCAUGGUGUUUUUCUGUUCUGUUUUUGCCUUUGUUUCAUUCUAAAAGUCACUCACUAUCUUUAUCUCAUUUGGGUUUCCCCGCGUUAUCAAAAAAUGAAAAUAUAAAACAAAGAGGAAAAAAAAACCUAUACAAAGGUCUUUGGAAUUUUGAUUCAAAGACUUAAGAAAAGAAUAAUAAAUUUUUGCAUUUGUUCCGUUCUAAAAUUCAAGGUAAGUUUUUCACAUAUAAUUUUUUUUUAGGAAUUCUAUUAUCUAUUAAUUAUGAGAAUAGUAAAUAUAUAUAAUAAUAAUAAUAAUAAUAAUCAUCAUCAUCAUCAUCAUCAUCGUCAUCAUCAUUAUCAUUUUAAAACUAGUUAUUAGUGAUCCUAAUCAAUCGAGAACAAGUUGAUUUUCAUUACCCUUGGUAAUGGUAGUGAUAAAAUAUAUUUUUAGUUAAUAAGGGUGUAAUUAGCUUUGGGGUUUCAUUGAUUAGAAAUUAUUUCAUCUACUAGUAAAAAAAACAAAGUAAAACUAACCAUCAAGUGCAAAUCAUGAAUUUUUUUAAAUAUGAAUUGAGUAUACAAAGUAUAUUAUUUAAUUAUAUAUUUAAAUUGAAAGAGAUUAAUUUUUCAAAAAUAGUGAAUUUAAUCAUUGAAUCAAAUCAACUUACCUGUUAUAAAGAUGUGAUAUGUUCCAAAAUUUAGUUGUAUACAAUACGUGACCCUUCUUAUUAAACUAUCCUUUAUCAUUGAGCUAUCUAACUUACCUUUCUCAAUUAUUAUCCUUUAAGGUACAUCAAAUAUUGGUAUAAAUGAGAAGAGAUCGAGAUAUGAAAAGUAUUUCAAAUAGAAACAUCUUUAGAAUAGAUUUAUUUUUUAGGAUUGUUUACUUAGAUCAAGUUUAUUUUAAUUUCUAAAAUGUUUUUUUAAGUGUUUGAGAGAAUUAAAGUUAUUAUUUAGAUAUUUUAAUUAGUUUUGGAUUUGUUUGUUAAGGUCAUUCAUACAAAGAUGAUAUCCAUUUCUGUGUUAUAUUUUAUUUUAUUUAUUUAUUUCUUAUUUCAUGUAUUAAGUUUGAUAAAACUGAAGGUGAAAUCAACAUUGAAUUGCUAAAAAUGUCAAUUACUAUUGUUAAUUUAUCACAAUUAUGAUUUUUUAAUUGUAGCACAUAGUAAAAUUAUUAUUAUUAUUAUUAUUAAUAUUUAUACUCUGGUCGAACUUAUCCAUGGCCAAUCCAUCAUGUAGGCCAAUUUUGUCAAACUUAUCCAUGGCCCAUCCAUCAUGUAGGCCAAAUUUUUAUUAGCAUUUUUGGGUCAUAACUCUAGAUGCUGACAUUAAAGCAUUUCUGGCAUAAUAAUUAUUGGAAAAGGAUGUCUCCUCUUUCAUGGAUCACAACCAAUACAGCAAAGAUGAUGAUAGAUAGCAUCCUUAUCACCUCAUGUGUCUUGACCUCUUCUUCAAGCUUGAGUGUCUUGUCCUAUAUUUAACGCAUGUACCAUUGCCUCCAAGAUAUGGUGACAGGAAUUAUAUAGCUACUGACUAGCUAGUCUUCACUCCAAAAAUAUGAUGGCCACUUUUUUGAAAUAUAACUCUUUAUCCUAUUGACUUAAACUCACCACCUCUUUCAGAUCCUCCACAAGGAUCAACUUAUUAAGAGUUUGGUCGAAGUUUGAUCCACUUUUCUAAAUGAGCAAUGUUAAAUUAUUUUAUUCAAACAAAUUUGAUGAUCAAAUAUCUCUUAUUUUCUCAAAUUUAAAUAACAUUCCUUUAUAAAAAUAAUUAUAAAAUUUAUUAUAAUCACUCAUUUUCAAUGGCUCAUUAGUAGAUGUUCAUUGUAUUAAAAUACAUUUAUAUGAUUAAGAAAAACUUAUACAUUUCUAUUUUUUUUUUCUAUGCAUAAUUUAUAAUAUCUCAUAUAGGAUUUAUUGGGUUUAGAAACAUGUAAUAUUUAUAUAAUAGUGAGUGAAUUAUUAUAAAUGGUAUGAAAAUUGAUUUUCAACCCUUUAUGAGAAUUUAUUUAAUACUACAAUAUAUGACUCUAUGUUUGAUUAUGUAAUCCUAUAAGACACGAUGUCCAUUAAGUUCAUUAUAUUAUUUUUAAUUAUGUAAAAAUAUUUUAAAAUUAAAAAAAUUCAUUAAACUUAGUGCAGACGCUAUCUAUAUAAAAGGAAAUAAAUGGUUAUACUUCAUCAUAUUCGUUUCUCAUAUUUGAUAUAUAUCAAUUUCAGCGACUAUUAUUCAACAUUGCCCGAAGCAAUAGGUGCCUCACUUUUACAAAGAAAACUUCCUCUAUUGAUAUUUCUCAAAUAUAAAUUCAUGUCAUGGACUCAUGGUUAACAACCGAUAGAUCCUAAAACAAUUAGAUAUCUCAGAUAUUGAUUGACCAAAUGGACAACCGAUGCUAUAGUAAGAGCUGUUGCUGUUAUCUUUUAAUUUAAAUAUACACAAACGACAAAAUGCUUAACUAAUCCACCACCCAGGCGCCGGGCCACAGAAAUGAAAUACCGCCUACCCCAACAUUUUGGAAUUAAAAAUCUACACCACCCAGAUCUUGCUGUGAUUUGGUAAAUCCCGAGAAAUUGACAACCUUCCUACGCUGGGGAGGCGUGGUUCCAUUCAAUGCCAACAUUUUCGGAUGGGUCCAGAGAGUUGUACAGUGACUUUUAAAUAAAGAAUUGUUUUAAACCUUGACUUUGGGCUCUUUAUCAGGAAUAUGAAAAUAUUGGGCAAUGACUAGAUUCGAGAGCAGGUUGCAUGCAUAGAUAUCGCAUUAAUUUUUAGCAAUCGUUAUGACGAAAGAAAAUCUGCAGAACCAAGCGAAUUUUCCUAGUCAUCAUGAGAGACAUUAGACAAGGUUUUCAAUUCAUAAAAUUGCCUUAUCAUCUGGAAUUAAAUAUUUUCAAGCUAAGGAUGAGGUUCAAUCCGUACGGGGCAAUGAAAAUAUAUGGAUGCCCUAUAGAGUGGUUGAACAUUCUACAGUUUCGUCCCUAUUUAUAGAAGAAGAUGAAAUUUUAAGCAAUUUGCUUCAAUGCAAUUUUAGCAUAUUUCAGCUAGUCAUAGCAACGUCUAAUUUCGUUGAUGUAGAAGAAGCUAACACCAAAGAUUCAUCUAGGUAGAAAGAAGUAUCGAGCAUGUAACUAACCGCAGAACUCACAUCUAGGGACCCUAUUGUAAAUAUAACAGGUGAUGGACAUAAAGAUAGAUAUGAGUAAAAGAGUGGAACAUAAAAUCCAAAUUUCAAAAGUAUGAUAGUUUUUUAGUGUUUCUUUGAAUCUCGUAGGAAUUUAGGUCAUUUUCAAUCUCAUCCAUGAGACAAGGUACAAUAAUUGUUGAAGAAUAAGAGUAUUGUUGGGCAGUUCGGCGAGCUAUAUAUAAAGAGAGAGACUUCUUAACCAUAUAAAUAUUAUCCUCUAUAACUCUAAAUUUUUUUUUCCUUUAUCCAAUAUAAAAUAUCACAAUCACUUUUAUGUAUGCACUCUUUUUAAUCACGUCGCAUAAAAUUACACCAUUUUCAAAGCUAAAUAAACUCCUAUAUAGGGGUCAUAUAUUGACUUCAAUACUCUUUGAAACGACUCACACUUAAUCAUAUAAACUCAUUAUAAUAAUGUAUUUCCUAAUUUCAUGGAAUUUCAAUAAAAUAUUUAUUACUUUCAAAUGGGAAUUAGAGAGGAAUGUUGUCUAGCUAACUCAUAAUUCUUCUUUAUAAGUUCAAAUUAGGUAUUUACUUCUUCCUACCAUUACCUCAUAUUUUGAUUGUUUCUUCGUUAAUAUAUAGUUGGUUAAACUAAUAAACUAGAGGUUAGGAUGGAGAUCAAUUUAGAUUAUGUUUGUUUUGAGUUUAAUAAACCCUUACGACUUUAAAAUGUGUUUAGAUAGUUAAGAGAAACUUAUACAUAUAUAAUAUUAAAAAAAUUUCCUCAUUUAAUGUGAGAUAUUAUAAUCAUCACUCAUGUAGACAUAAUAUAUUUGUUGUAAGUCAGAAGAUUGUAAAACCAAACAAAUUUUUUCAUUGAAAUAUAAUAUUAUUUGUAAUGGUUCACUUUCUCUCAUGGAUCCCAACUCCAUUAGGUUCUUCAUGAAGCUUGUUUCAGUUUAUUAACCACCGAUGUAGCAAAGAUGAUGAUAAGUAGUAUUUUUGUUUCUCAUAUGUUUUCAGACCUCAUCAAGCUUGAGUGCCUUAUCCCAUCUCUAACGCAUGUACCAUUGCCUCCAAAAUAUGUUGCCAGAUUAUACAUAAUAUCAUAAUUAUAGCUACUGAAGUCCAACGACUACCUAGCUAGUCUUCACUCCCAAAAACAUGAUGGUCACUUCUUUGAAAUAUAACUCUUAUCCUAGUGACUCAAACUCACCACCUCAUUGACAUCCGUCAUAAGAAUUUCAGAGACUCUUCAAAGUUUGAUCCACUUUUAUAGAUGAAUAAUGUAAAAUUCUUUUAUUCAAACAAAUUUGAUGAUCAAAUAUCUUUUCUUUCCUAAAAAUUAUAUUUCCUUUUUAUAAAUCUUAUUUUAAUGACCCAAUUACAGUAUGGUAGAUAUUGUUUGUUUCGAGUCCAAUAAACCCUUAUAACUUUAAAAUAUGAUUAAAUAGUUAAGAGAAACUUAUAAAUAUAUAAAUGUGAGGUCAAAUAAAUUUUCAUAUUGAGAUAAAAGAUUAACUUUAAUACUAUUUGUAAUGGUUUACUUUCUUUCAUGUAAACAUCAUCCACUUUAUACUCAAUGAAUCAUUGAAGCUUUAAAACAUAUUUACAUGAUUAAAAGAAACUCGUACAUAUAGUAUUAGAAUUUUUUUUUUCUGACCCAUGAUUUGCAAUAUAUGUAUAAAUACGUUUUAAAGUUAUGAGGAUUUAUUAAGUUCAGAGUAAAUAGUAUUUAUAUUAAAUGGAAUGACAUGUCACAUGCAAAUAAUAUCAAACUCAAUCUCCAAUUUUUAUAUAAGAGUUUGUUUGAUUUUAUAAAAAAUGUUUGUGUGUUUCAUUCUACAAUUCUGUGAGACACAACAUCCAUUUAAUUUAUUAAAGUCUUUUUAACUAUGUAAACAUGUUUUAAGUUGUUAAGAUUGAUUGGGUAAAAACAGAAGAGGUGAUUGUGUGUUUUAUCCUACAAUUCAAUGAGGCAAUGCCUAAUUGAUUCAUUGGGGUACUUUUAAUCGUUAAUGCAUGUUUCAAUGUUGCUAAGAUUGAUUGAGUGAGGAAAAUAUCUACAUAUGAAAGGCAACAGUUAGUUACACUUCAUUAUGUUUUUUUCUAAUAUAUUGAUAUAUGUCAAUUUCAGUAGUUAUUAAUUCAACAUCGCCCAAAGUAACCAAUGCCUCGCUUUUCCAAACAAAACUUUCUCUAUUGAUAUUUCUUAAAUAUAAAAUCAUGUCAUGGUAAGCAUCCGAUGGAUACUAAGACAAUUGGAUAGAUAUCUCAGAUAUUGAAUGGACCAAAUGGGGUAACGGAUGUGGUAGUAUACAAGCGCUGUAUAUCUUUUAAUUUAGAUAUACACACACAACGUAAUGCCUAAUCCAUCCAGCCGGGGGGCCGGCCAGAGAGAUAUAAAAUACCCCCAAUCCCAUCAUUUUGUAUUUUGUAUUGGAAUUAAAAAUCCAAACCCAGAUAUUGCUAUGAUUUGGUAAAUCCCGAGAAAUUGAGAACCCAUCCUGGGGGAGGCAUGGUCCCCCUAUUCAAUGCCAACCCUAUUUUCAAAUGGUGUCUAAAGAGUUGUACAGUUAACGGUGACUUUAAAAUAAAGAAUUGCCUUAAACCUUGAUUUUAGGCCCUUCUUCAAGAAUAUGAAAAUGCAUGUUGGGCAAUGAUUUAGAUUCGAAAGUGGGUUCUGCAGACAUCACAUUUCUGCAGAGCCGAAAAUAUUUACAAGCGUAGGACGAAGCUCAGUUCAGAUGGGCCUCGAAGAUGAAUUUUUAAGCAAUUUGCUUGAUACAUUCAGCAAUUGAUAAUUUAAAAUAAAAAAAAUUAGGAAAUAGAAAGUAAAACAUAUAUGGUUAAAACUUCAAUGCAAUUUUAGCAUAUUUGAACUAGUCAUAGGAGCGUUUAAUUUCUUUGAUGAAGAAGCUGAACACCAAAGAUUCAUCCAGGUAGAAAAAUGUAUUGACCAUCUAAUUGUCUGCAGAACCUACAUCUAAGUACCCCGCUAUAAAUAUAAGAGGCAACUUAGGUGAGGGACAUAUAGACACAUACGAAUGCCAUUGUAGAAUAUAAAAUCCAAAUUUCUCAAAACUAUAAGGUUAUGUUUGAAUCCAAAAAAAUAUUAGAGGAAGUGAAAAUGUUAAGAAAAAUAAUUUUUUAUGAUUAAUUUUAUUAUAAAAAAUAUAAAAAAUAAAUAUAAUUAAAAUUAGUUAGAAUUUUACAUAUUUUUAAAUUAUAUAAUUUGAAUUUAAAUAAAUAUAUAAAAAUAAGUCAUUAAUUUUAGAUCUAUUUCUUUUUUCUUUUUUUAUAUUCUCCCACAAAAUUUCAGUAACCGAACACAACCUAAUAGUUUCCACUGUUUCUUUGAAUUUCUCAACUUCAAAAUCUCUUGUCUAUGAGACCUCAGAGUAAUUAAUUCCUACCUCUUGGUGACUAGGCCAAGCGCAUGGAUAGGCACAUUGACCCACUUGUAAUUGCCUAGGCUAAUAGGCCAAGCUCAUAGCAAUUUUCCUUUUUUAUUUUUUAAUUUCGUCGUAGGACUUGGUCUCCACAAGGCACUAUAACGUAUCCCCUAAUUUCAUUUCAUGGAACUUUAAUAAAAUAUCUAUUGCUUUCAAGUGGGAACUGGAGAGCAACGUUGCCUAGCUAACUCACAAUCCUUCUAUAUAAGUUCAAGCUAGGUAUCUUCUUCCUUCCACCACUGCCCACUGCCUUGUAUUAGGAUAUCGUUUCUUAGUUAAUAUAUAGUUGAUUAAUUUCCAUCUCCAACUACUACUAUUAUUAGAAAAAUAUGGCUCUAACUGGCAAGCUAGAGGUUGAAAUGGAGAUCAAUUCACCUGCGGAUAAAUUCUAUAACAUCUUCAGGAGGCAAGCACACCACAUUCCUAAUAUCUGCUCAGAUAAAGUACACCAAAUUGAUGUACAUGAAGGUGACUGGGAGACUCCAGGCUCCGUCAAGAACUGGGGUUAUACUCUUGGUAAGGCAACCACAACUCAAACCCCAAAACCCUAGCACUAUUAGUCUGUAAAAAAAAAUGAUUUUUUUAGUUUUUCUAUUUCAUUUAAUUGUUUUUUUGUUUGGCAUUUUCCCCUUUAGAAUAUUAAUUUAACUGCAUUAAUUCGGAGUUGAUCCCAUCAUGUGGAAGUUUAUGCUUCUGUUAUGAAUACAGCUUUGUAUGCCUUCCUUAUGUUUAAUUCAACCUAAAGCAUGUAGAAUUGAUGGUCAAAGUCUAUGGGACCCUUUUUUCAUGACCGCCAUGCAUGGGGCUUUCCCAGGUGACUGCCCGCUACUAAAGGGGCCUAAAGUUUAGGUCCCCCGAGUUAGAACUUAGAAGAGGGAUUAUGAAUGAUCAGUGAAGUUGUAAGGUUUUGAUCUUCUUAGAUAUUACCUAGAAAGAGGAUUGACUUUACUUGACUUUUACCAUAUUGAUUUAGAGAUUGGCGAUUGCUUUAAAAGGUUGUGUCAACAGAAGAAAACUUAAAAAAUAUUAAGAAAAAUAAAAAAAAUGAUUUUGUUUUUAUAAAAAAAAUCAAAUAUAAUAAAAACGAGUUGAAAUUUUAUUUAUUUUUAAAUUAACUUUUAUAUAGAAGAAUUAAAAUACGUUAAGUAAAUUUGAAUCAAAAUAUAAAAAUAAUUAAUUUCUUAAUUUUAAAUUUAUUAUUUUUCUUUUAACUUCUUUUUUGUUUUUUCAUUUUCUUUUCUUUUGUAUUUUCUUCAAAUUUUUUUAGAACCAAAUAUAGUCAUUAUGAAAAGAUGGGCCACGAAGUGACUACGCAUGUCAAUUUGCUUGAGAUUUCGCAAUCUAGUAGUUUCAAAAUACUAUGCUUAACCCCUUGUUUUGGUUUGAAAUUACUAGGAGGGACUUCUAUGAGCCUUAAAGAGACUGUGGAAUCAGUAGAUGAUGAAAACAAGUCAAUCACUUUCAAGGUUGUGGAUGGAGAGAUCAUGAACCAUUUCAAGUGCUUCAAGUCCAACUUGCAAGUAAAAGCAAAGGAUGAGGGCAGCUUGGUGAAAUGGAGUCUGGAAUAUGAGAAAGUAAAUAAGGAUGUCCCAAAUCCUGAUGCUUACCUGGAGUUCGCAGUUAAUGUUACUAAAGAUAUUGAAAGCCACUACCUCAAGGCAUGACACCAAGGCCAUGUGGUAUCCUCGGUAGUAUUACUUCAAUAACGCUGGUGUUUGUAAUUUGGUUGAGUUGUAUGCUUUACCAGGAGUGGCCUUGUGAUUGGCUGGUUUCUUUUGUAAAGGCAUUAUCAUAUAUGAUGUAAAUACUGUACCUUAAAUAAAAAGAAAAUCAGCAAAGACCCUCCUUUUUAAUGUGGAUAAUUGCUUUUAAUGUCACCUUUGUUGAUCGGUUUACAAGACAAGAGUUAACAAGUAGUCCCUAUUUAUUAAAUAUAAGAAUUUUCUGUAUCCAUUAAUCAUCAUCAGUAAGCUAAUAAAAUGGCUGAUAUUUUUCUUAAUAAAAACAGCAACAGUUACUGAGUUUAUAUAUAGGACACCAGUUGCAGAUUAGAUUUCUUUGGCUUGAUUGUGAUCUUUCUACAUGUUGGAAAAAUAUUGUCAUUUGGUAUUUAAUAUCAAAUUUUAAAAAUAAUAUUUAAGAUAUGAAGAAAAAAACAUACAAUGAUUCAUAUUUUUAACUUUAAUAUGAUUUAAAGUUCAUCGAGUAACCGUUUUGAAAUCAUUCACCCUUGAUCUUCACUUUCCUAGUCUCCCUUUACACGUUCCUUAGUGGUGAGUAUGAAAAUGAUUCCAUUGAAUUGUAAGAAUGGAAAGAGGGAUAAAAAAUUCUUCUAUUUAUAAGCAUAGAAUGAUUCUUCUUAUCAGUGAACCAUUAACUAAAUACUUUAAACAUAUUAUUAAUUAAUAAUAAUAAUAAUAAUAAUUAUUAUUAGAAAAUAAAUUUCAUAAAUAUUAUAAAUUUAAAAAAGAAUCUAAUUUAAUUCUUAAAAAAUUUAUGCAUGAAAUUUUUAUAUUAUUUUUAAUUGUUUUCUAAGGGUUAUUUUAAGAAAUUAUUAUACAAACAUAUAAAAUAAUUAAAAAUAAAACAAUAGAUAUAAAAAUUAUUUUUAAAAAUAUUAAAAAUAAAUUCAAAAUAUUUUAAGUUGCCAAACAAAUUUUUUAUUCUACAAAAAUCAGAGAUAGUUUUCAAAAUCUCUUUUAAAAAACUAUUUUUCAGAAUUAUUUUAAAAAAUAGUUACCAAACAAGCCCUAAAAGAUUUAUAUAUAUAUAUAUAUAUGAAAUUAAAAAAAUAUCAAAUAAUAAAAAUUCAAACAAUGGUAAGGGUGUCACUAAUGAUCGGUUUGGAUUUAAACUAACAUUUUUUUAUAUUGAGUAAUUUAUUUUUUAUUCUAUAUAUUAGAAAAUUGAAUUUAAAUGUAACUUUUUCAAAUAAAAUAGUUAGAUCACACUUGAUAUAUAGUAAUAAUUUUUUAAAAACUAAUGGUCAUAAUUUAAAAAAAUGAUGAAAAAAAAAUCUCAAAUAUAUUGCAUAUGAAUGUAUAUAUUUAGUUUUAUACAACAUGUUAGACAUAUAUUAGUUAUUAACUUAUUAUAAUCUACUAAAAUAUUAAUUCUAUACGAGGGGAUUAGAUUUCUCAUUGUUGAUUUUAUAACCCUCAUUGUGGGAUUAUAAAAUGUCAUUGCAAUCACUCCCAAUUUAGUCUAUGCAAAUCAAAUAUAGAAAUGCAAUUUAUCUCUGUCACAAUUUGUUACACAAUAAUGAUAAUGGAUAAUAAAUAAAUAAAUAAAUAAAAUUAAAGAACACACAUUUAUGUAUAAAACUUUAGAUGAGAAAAAUCAUGGAUAAGGAAAAUGAAUAUCCAAUAUAUCAAAAGAUUGGUAUAAAAGAUGAGAAAUAUAAACAACUAUGAUAAAAAUAUAAUCAUCAUAACCUUAAAAUUAUGUGAAAGUAAUUAACAAAGUAGGUCCAUACAUAAGGACAAAGAGCCCCCUCAAAGGUAUCAAUGGUGGGGGUGUGGGGUGUGGGAUCGGAUCAAAUUCCAACGUUAUCAAUGGUAGGCUAGGGGAUCGGAUCAAAUAGAAUUUGGAUCGCCAAACCUUAAUACAUUUUAUGCUUUUUCUUAUUGGUUUAGAUUUAUGAUAAUCUCCUCCACCAGCAAAAUAAAGUUAUACCGGAGGAUUUUCUUUGUUUUGGCUGUCACACUUUCACUUCUUUGCUAAUAGCCUAACAUCAAAUGAGAAAAUAGAGACAUUUUAAAAAUGAGAACAAAUUCUCGAGGAUUUAGUUGUCUGCCACUAGACUAUAAAAAAUGCUUUCCUGUUAUUUUACCCCCUAAAAUAAGUUUGAUACAAUGCAUCUAUUUUCUGGCUCCGACAAUGUUUAAGAAUACAUCAACCGACCUCAAACCACAUUAUUUCGGUUUGAAAAGAAGGCUUUAUUAUGUCAGUAUGGCUGCUAAGAAGACUUUUGGAAUAUAAUAAAACAAGUCCAGCGAGUUGAUGGUUUGGAAUCGAGAGAUCAUGAAUGAUUUCCCUACUUUAGAGUCAAUAAUUAAGUGGAAUGUGAGAAGGUGAAUGAGGAUGGCCCGGGAUCCAAUGCUUACUAAACUAUUGAAGAUCACCUUCCUGAGGCAUAAUUCCAUUACUUUUCAUCGACGCUGCGAUGCUAUAAAAGAAUAUUAUAAAAAUGCAAGGGUAAUGAAAUAUUGUACAGCCUUUACCGUAUUGAAGAACGUGGACUGAUUGCUAGGGUACCCAACACCCACCAUAAUUCCCACACCAACUCCCAACCAACCCGAUCACGUAGGGCCUCACAUGGCCUCAUUAUCAUUUAUGUGGAAAGAUAAUGCUAAACUAUAUACGGGAUGGCCAUUCUACCAGCCAACCUGUAAUGAUUUUGAUAAAAGUAUACUAAAAAUAGAAGGAGAAAUUAAGUUAUCAUUUGAUAACGGUUUUUAAAAAUUGUUUUUAAUAUUUUAUAAAAUAAAAUUUUAUUUAGAAAUACAAAAUAUUUUUAACUUAUUUUUAAUAUUUUAUAUGUAUAUAUAUAUAUAUAAAGAGAGAGCGCUUUAUUUUUAAUUAUUUUUCAUAUUUAUAUAAUUAUUUUUUAAAACAAUUUCAAAAAAACAAGUGAAAAUAACUAAAAAAAUAUUCUUUGAGAUAAAGAUCAAAAAACAUAAAAUAGUUUUUUUUAUUAUCAAACAUGUUUUAUGUUUUCUAAUCUGUGUUUUUUUAAUUUGUUUUUUGUUUUCAAAUCUUAAGAUCACUUAAUUUUUUAGGGUUUUUUUUAAGAAAUAAUUAUAUAAAUAUAUAAAAUAAUUAAAAAUAAAAUAUUAGACAUAAAAAUUAUUUUUAAAACAUAUUUAAAAAUAUUAAAAACAAGUUUAAAAUAUUUUAAGUUAUAAAAUAAGCUUUUUUUUUUUUACAAGAAUCAUAAAAUAAUUUUUAAAAACUAUUUUAAAAUAUUAUUUUUGAAAAUAAUUAUCAAACCCCUUAUUUUCUAUUCUCAAAAAAUGUUUUUUAAUUAUCAAAUGUGGUGUCUAUUUAAAUUUAAGAUUUUAAAUUUUAAAUUUAGUUAUUUCCAAGUUAUGAUCUCUUGAUAUUAUUUCAACCUAUUAUUUAUUUAUUUGUUUGUUUUUCACAUAAAUAAACUAAAAUUCAAUUGUAUAACCCAGUAUGAAUCACGUGGGCCCUUAGUGAGGCUGGCUACAACUAAAUCAACGUUCUUUUGAUAAUCGAUUGCCUAUGAAAGAAAUCAUCACGCCUUACACACAAUAGAAUAAAUUAAUAAGAAAGUAAGAAGAUUAGAAAGAAAAGCAUCUUAGAGGAAGGGUUUUUUUUUUUUUAACUUCUUGGUGGUGACACUGGAUGGGCUUUUGAUAAUUGUACGACGAAUUUAAAAUUAAUGUUUUAAAAUACGGUAUUAAAAAAUAUUUUCAAAUUUAUGGUACUUUUUACCACUUUGAAACAUGUUUCUUAAAAAAGCAUAUUUCAUCGUUUUUAUAUUAAUGAUACACAUUCAAAAAAAAAAAAAUUAAAGGUGUCUUUUUGAAAUAUAUUUUUCAUAAUUUUUAUAUCAAUAACACACAUUAAAAAAUUUUGAAUUUAUAUUAAAAGUGUCUCUUCAAAAAACACAUUUUAUAAUUCCAUAAAAUUAAAUUUAUAUUAAAAGUGUCUUUUAAAGAUAUACUUUUUACAAUUUUCAUAUCAGUUAUAUAGUGAAAAAAUUGAAUUUAUAUUAAACAUAUUUCUUUAAAAGACAUUUUCUACAAUUUCAUAAAAUUAAAUUUAUAUUAAAGGUAUCUCUUUCAAUAAUUUUUGUAUCAAUCAUCCAUUGAAAUAAUUGAAUUUAUACUAAAAAUAUCUUUUUAAAAGACACCAUCCAUAAUUUCAUAAAAUUAAAUUUAUAUUGAAAUGUUUCUCUUUAUACUUUUAAUAUAAAUUUAAUUUUUUUAUAGGUGAUUAAUAUAAAAAUUAUGAAAAGUAUUUAUUUAAAAAAUAUUUAUUAUAAAUUCAAUUUUAUAGAAUUAUAAAGACGUCUUCAACGUAAAUUCAAUUAUUUUUUCAAUGUGUAAUUGAUAUGAACAUUAUGAAAAAUGUCCUUCAAAAGACACUUUUAGUAUAAAUUUGAUUUUAUGGUAUUAUUAAAAGUAUAUUUCUUUAAUAUAAAUUCAAUUUUUUAACAUGUAUAACUAAUGAAAAAUUAUAAAAAAAUUAUAUUUUGAAGAGAUAUCUUUAAUAUAAAUUCAAUUUUUUAACAUGUAUAACUAAUGAAAAAUUAUAAAAAAAAUUAUAUUUUGAAGAGAUAUCUUUAAUAUAAAUUCAAUUUUAUAGAAUUAUAAAAGAUAUCUAUUGAAAAAAUACUUUUAACAUGUAUCAUUGAUAUGAAAAAUAUAGAAAAUAUCUUUUCAAAAAACACUUUUUAAAAUGGUAAAAAGUACCAUAAAUUUAUCAAAAGUUUUAUAACUAUCAUAGAAAUUUUUUUCAAAAGUUCCAUUUUUUAAUAAUUAUUUUUUUAAAUAGCCGUACAAGUUAUAUAAAAAAAAACCCGAUACUCCAUAAAAUGUGAUCAAGUAGGAUUUGCAUCAUGCAACCUCAUACAAAUAAUAAAAAGCAUAAAUCACUUGAAACUUGAAAGUGAUUGGAAUUUGGCAGACUCUAGCUAGCUAGGUUGCCAUAAAUGACAUGGGUCAGUGGCCGACACCCACCAAACCCAGCACUUAAUAAUAUAAUUAAUAUACUAUUAUUAUAGAACCAUCGUUUUCAGGAUAGGGAGCAUCAAAUUAACCUCCCCAAGUCAAACUGCACAAUUUGUUUCAUCGAAAUCGAAUAUCUAAUAAUGAAUGAUUAUGGGUGAGAUUGCAAUCCGCCAAUCCUUUGCCUAGCUCUUUGAAAAUCAAUGAUGAUGCUUAGUAUUAAUAUUUUAUUUAUCUUUUUAAUAUGAAAAUAAAAAUAUCAAAAUAAUUUUAAACUUUUUUCGUGGAGAUAAUGCUCCCCAGUUAAGCUGCUUAUAAGGUAUAAAUUAAUAAUAACCUUUUAAUUUUAAUAAAAGCAAUUUGAUACAUAUCACAUCUUAAUUCACUUGAGUAAUAACUAUUUAAGAUUGGAUUUAGGUUAACUUAGAUUAAUUAGAUUGUAUUCAGGUUAAUUAAACCAUAAUCAUAUUAUUAUCAACAAUUUCUCACAACUAUCCUAUUUUUAAUAUGAAUUAUUCCUAGUUCUCAAAUUAUUGUUUAGGUAGUUUUAUUAUCUUAAAAAACAUCUUUUUUUGUCAUUGGUUCUGCAUGGUUAUUAAAUAAGAAAAUUAUAAUUAUCUUAUCAACUAAUUUGAAGACUUUUCACAAAUUCAUACUUUAAAAACCUCUUUCUUUGUCGUGGGUCCCUACAUGGUUAUUAAAUAAUAAAAUUGUAAUAAUUUUAUCAAUUAAUUUGAAGACUUUUCACAAAUUUAUACAAUACUAGUUAUCGGAAAUGUGUCACAAAGAAGAUGCCAAGCUAAAAGCAAAUCAUGAUUCAUUAUUUUUUUUCCCAAUUGGAGCUCGAUGACCCAAUCCGAAUGCAUUAACAUCAAAAUUAGUGUUUUAUACUAUUUUCAAUGAACCUUGUCAACAUGAUCGUGAAAUGAUUUAUGAUUAUUUUCAAUAAACCUUUCAUCGAAACUAUGUGUAGAACUGCAUGAAUAAAUAAGAAAUUUUCAUAGUUACAGAUUUGCAUUAUCUCACUCUAUAUGAUUUUAUAUAGUUUUUUUUUUAAUACUUCUGCAACAUUUCUUUAGAAAAAAUAUUGUAUCAAUAAAUUCAGUAAUUUUCAUCAAUUUCAAUCUUAUAAUUAAAUGAUACUUCUGUCAUGUAUAUCACCAUACGUGUCACACUUCAUUCAAGAUCAGGUUGAUUAGUCAUGUAUACCUGCUCCAUUAAUAAAGUAUUAAGUUUUUAUUUUAUUUUAUUAAAAUAAUAAAUAAAUAAUAUAAUUUUUUUUUAUUAGAGGUAGUUAGGUAUCAUUAAAUGAUUUGUUGUCCUGCCAUGUCCCCAAUUAAUAAUUUUAUACUUUUCAUUUUUUUCAAAGGAUUUAAAAUAUAAAAUAUUAAAGAUAAAAUAUCUGAAAGUACCGCUUCCAUACCCAAUCAAAUUUUAAAUCUAAAUUAUUGACAUGUGAGUGAAAUUUGGACUAUUAAAUAAAAAGUGAAAAAAAAAUAAAAUAAUAAAUAAUUAAAAAUGUUCCUGCAAGGAGAUGUGACUAAGGUUAAAAAAGGAGGGGAUAAGGAGCGGCUAGGAAUAUGUAAACAAAAUUCAAAUAAUUAAAAAACGAAAUGAUAACUUCUCAAUGAAAUUGAAUGUUUCAGUUCUAAAAUCCAAAACAAAAACUAUAGUGAAAGAAAAAUUUGAGAAAAUAUAGCAUGGUCUUCUCUUUAAUGAUUGAUAAAUAUUUAUAUAUAAAUAAAGUUUAUUUUCCAUUAUAAUUUAGAUUAGUCGAGUCUUGUUUUCUACUCAAAUUCAAACUUCACAUUUUGUUAUAAUUUAAUCUAAUAAUAAUUGUUUUCACAAGACAAGCUGAAGUUAUCCAUUAAAAUACAACUUUUAAUUAAUAGUUUAAAAAAUAAGAUAAAUUUGAAAAUAAUUUUAAAAUUUAAUAAGUAUAUAUAUUUUUAAAUAGCAUUUUUUUUUUUAAAUUGCCAAAUCUAUGCUCAGAAAAGAUCCACAAAAGUUGAUCAACAAAAGAUACCGAACAGGAAGUAGAUGAUAAUCCAUUAUUUUCUUCUUUAUUAAAGUUUGACAACCCAAUCUGAAUUCAUUAACGUGAAAAGCAGUGUUGUAUGCUCAUUUUCAAUGAACCUUGUCAACAUGCACGUCAAAAACAAUGAUUUAUUAACUACGUACAUGUAGAAUUCCAUGGGAAAAAAAAAAAUACAAUUAAGGCCUUGGGAGAUGAAUAAAAGCUUAACCUAAAAUUCAAAAUUCUCAAAACCAUGUUUUUUCACACCAAAAUGUUUCAUCCAGCCAACCUAAGACCGAUUGAAUCCUCCCUCUAAAGCACAUUGCCCAAGAUUACAGGCAACGUAGUAAUUACCUAAGCAAGUACGUCAGAAUCAUAGCAAUUUUUACCAAAGUGGGUAUCGGGAAGGAGCUUUGCCUAAUUCAUUCUUCGACAAGGUUAUCUACUUCCUCUCGUCACUGCCUUCUGUUUGAAUCAUUUGUAGUUAGUUUUAUCAAUCCAGCUAGUGUUAUUAUCAGAAAAACAUGGCUCUAACUGCUAAAGUGGAGACUGAAACAGAGAUCAAAGCACCUGCUGAUAAGUUCUUUAAACUCUUCAGGAGCCAAGCACACCACCUUCCUAAUAUCUGCUCCGAUAAAAUACACAAAAUCGAGGUACAUGAAGGUGACUGGGAGACUCAGGGCUCCGUCAAGCAUUGGAGUUACACCAUUGGUAUGACAUGCAACUCAAACUAAGAACCCCAAAACACUAGCGUUAUAUUCUGUUAAUUAAAAUAAUUUUUGAUGUUUUUGUUUCAUUUCAUUGUUGUUUUCUUCUCCUUUCAAUUAUUCUUUUAGAAUAAUAAACGCAUGCGUCUUUGUACAUUUUUUUUCUUGCAAAUAAGUGAUCGGGUCUGGGCCGCUAGUGACUAUGAUGGUUCUUAGUAAUGUACAUGACAUCUAAUAAUAGCUUCAACAUAUUCCAAUUAUGUUUAACCUCACAUUUUGGUUUUAACUAGGUGGGAAUUCUCAGAGUAUUAAAGAGACUGUGGAAUCAAUAGAUGAAGAAAACAGGUCCAUCACGUUCAAGGUUUUGGAUGGGGAGGUGCUGAAAGAAUACAAGAGCUACAAGUUCACCGCACAAGCGAUACCAAAGGGGGAGGGCAGCUUGGUGAUAUGGACCAUCGAAUAUGAGAAGGCAAGUGAGGGUGGCCCAGAUCCCCAUAACUACCUAGAGUUUGCAGUUAAUAUCACCAAAGAUAUCGAAAGUCACCUUCUCAAUGCAUAACACCAAGGUCAUAUCUACCCUUUGCUAGUAUCUCGCUCGUAAAUAAAGUUUGGACCUUGGAAGUCCAUCUACGUACGAUCUCUAUCUUUCAAUAAACGCAAAUUCCAGGUGUGGACUUGGUGAUUAAUGCCGAGAAGAUAAACUAGGUUUGCCUUGGUUAUUUGUGCAAUAAUAU